RNAcentral lists this ribosomal RNA (700 nucleotides) under uncultured beta proteobacterium. Its description in RNAcentral is "bacterial SSU rRNA". It matches the Rfam family "Bacterial small subunit ribosomal RNA", at positions 79 to 775 of the family's 1533-position model. The record is from RNAcentral. Lineage: Bacteria; Pseudomonadati; Pseudomonadota; Betaproteobacteria.
UUCGGUCUGGUGGCGAGUGGCGAACGGGUGAGUAAUAUAUCGGAACGUGCCCAGUCGUGGGGGAUAACGUAGUGAAAAUUACGCUAAUACCGCAUACGAUCUAAGGAUGAAAGCGGGGGAUCGCAAGACCUCGCGCGAUUGGAGCGGCCGAUAUCAGAUUAGGUAGUUGGAGAGGUAAAGGCUCACCAAGCCAACGAUCUGUAGCUGGUCUGAGAGGACGACCAGCCACACUGGAACUGAGACACGGUCCAGACUCCUACGGGAGGCAGCAGUGGGGAAUUCUGGACAAUGGACGCAAGUCUGAUCCAGCCAUUCCGCGUGCAGGACGAAGGCCUUCGGGUUGUAAACUGCUUUUGUACAGAACGAAAAAGUCUCUAUUAAUACUAGGGGCUCAUGACGGUACUGUAAGAAUAAGCACCGGCUAACUACGUGCCAGCAGCCGCGGUAAUACGUAGGGUGCAAGCGUUAAUCGGAAUUACUGGGCGUAAAGCGUGCGCAGGCGGUUAUGUAAGACAGAGGUGAAAUCCCCGGGCUCAACCUGGGAACUGCAUUUGUGACUGUAUAGCUGGAGUGCGGCAGAGGGGGAUGGAAUUCCGCGUGUAGCAGUGAAAUGCGUAGAUAUGCGGAGGAACACCGAUGGCGAAGGCAAUCCCCUGGGCCUGCACUGACGCUCAUGCACGAAAGCGUGGGGAGCAAACAG